RNAcentral lists this unclassified non-coding RNA (3145 nucleotides) under Hevea brasiliensis (rubber tree). Lineage: Eukaryota; Viridiplantae; Streptophyta; Magnoliopsida; Malpighiales; Euphorbiaceae. The record is from RNAcentral.
UUGUAUAUAAAUAAUGAAAAAUUGUAGAGGGGAGAGAGAAGAUUUAUGUAUUUAGCAUUUUGCUAAGGGCUAGCUUGUAGCUGGUUCAGGAGAGUGUCUCCUGGUUUUGUUUUAUUUUAAAAGAAUAGAGUAAUUCUAUUUACUGUAUGAGCAUUCUCCAUUUUAUAAUACAAGCUCAAUUCCAUUUCUAUUCGGAUUAUUUACAAUUUUUGUUCUUCACUCUAUCAUUUGGUCCGAAUUGCCGUUGUUUUUUCCUCCAUGCCCAAAACAAGAAUGGAGGGACGAGUUGAUUCGGUAGAGAAGAACGUCACAGACUUACAGCAGUUGGUUUCCGCCAUGAAACUUGAACAAGAGCAAUGUAUGUCUUCUUUUCAAGCAAUACAGGAUUAGCGUUUCUCUCGCAUAGAAUCAUUAAUUUCUUCUAUGGCUCAUGGAAAAUCUACAGUUCAGGAAGUGGACCCUUCUCUUCAUUCUCCUACCCUCGGCACUUCCACUGUUCAUCCAGUCACUCCACCUGCUAUAGUUGACGCUGUUGGAACUUCCACUCUUUAUCCGGCAACCCAACCAGUUGUCGUUGAUGAUUCGUCCCUUGCUAUUAAGAAAGUUGAGCUUCCGAACUUUGAUGGUGUAGAUCCGGUUGCUUGGUUGGCUAUAGCAGAGCAAUACUUCGCCAUUAACAAUACGCGAGAGGAGAUGAAAGUUCAACUUGCCUUGGUUUGCAUGGAAGGACCGUCGUUGCACCGGUUGCAUUGGCUUCGUCUGCGUACACCCAAUCUUUCUUGGUCCCAACUUACUCUGGAACUCCUGCAUCGUUAUGGGGGGAAUAUGCGAAUCAAUCCUUAUGAAUGCUUGUCUACUUUGCGUCAGGAUUCUUCUGUUGAUGCUUAUAUUGAUGCUUUUGUAGCUCUUGUUUCUCAAAUUGAAGGUUUGUCAGACCAACAGUAUUUGAGUUUUUUCCUUAGUGGUUUACGUGAUGAUAUUCGAGUGCGCAUUCACUCUCAAGAUUCCACAGAUAUCUUUCGCACUAUGACUCUAGCUCGUGAACUUGAGUUGGAAAAUCAAUUUAUUCUGCAAUCAGCAUCUCAACUGAAGCGAUGGAAUGACAGUGGUAUUCGUUGGUCUCCUCCAGGGUUUGGACCUAAAAUUGAUAUGGGUAAACAAAGUUAUGAGGCUUCUGUUGUUACUAAAACUCAGCCCAUUUCUAGUGUUUCUAAAUUACAAGAGUUGCCAGUACAAAAAUCUCCAGACCACAACUCUUCUGGUCCAUCUAAGCUUUCCCUUCCUUCCACAACAACGACACCACCUCGCCCAUCUUCCACCUUCUCUCGUAACCGAGGCACCCGACACUACACCCACCAAGAAUUCCUAGAAUUGCGAGCUAAGGGACUCUGCUAUAAAUGUAAGCAGCCCUUCCACUCCAUGCAUGAGUGCCCAAACAAGUCUUUGAGAGCUUUAAUUAUUGGCGAUGAUGAAGAGAAACCACCAGAUCCUGAUUUGGGUUUAUCAGAACUUGACCCUCCUCAGAUUGAAGUGAUUAAUGAGGCUCAUUUCAACACUAUGGACCUUCCAUUUUAUUCUAUUGGCGGCAUUUCAUCACCAAAAACCUUGAAGCUCCAGGGCAAAAUGCAUGGUACUGAUGUCACGGUUCUUAUCGAUAGUGGAGCCAGCCACAAUUUCAUUUCAGGUAAUCUCUCUUCCAAACUCAAUUUAACGGUUGAAUCAACGCCCUCUUUUGGUGUUCGAUUGGGUGAUGGCCAUAGGGUUCAAUCAAUGGGUGUUUGUCGACAACUUCAACUCGAUUUGGGAAAUCUGGAAGUUAAAGCAGAUUGUUAUCUAUUUCCGUUGGGGAGUGUCGACAUUAUUCUUGGAGUAGCAUGGCUUGAAACUUUGGGAGACGUUCGAAUCAAUUGGGCCACUAUGCAAAUGUCUUUUUCUUAACAUGAAGUUAUUACUCUCUCGGGCAACCCUUCUCUUACAAGAUCUGCGGCAACUGUUUCUCAAUUGCACAAAAUUAUUGAUGUUGAUUAUUCAGUAUAUUUAUGGCAAUUAUCUAAUGUAGCAGCUACUUAUGAAUUUGAAAAUGAAAUCUCUCCAUCUCAACAAAAUCAAUUGCUGUUACUUCUGAAUAAAUUUCAGCAUGUUUUUGGUGAUAUUGAAUCUCUACCCCCCCAUAGGCAGCAUGAUCAUAUUAUUUCUUUGGUUGCUGGCACCACUGCAGUGAAUGUUAAACCAUACCGAUAUAGUCAUUUUCAAAAGGAUGAGAUAGAGAAGUUAGUGCGGGAAAUGCUUGCUGCAGGAAUUAUCAGGCCCAGUUCUAGCCCUUUUUCGAGUCCGGUUCUAUUGGUACGAAAGAAAGAUGGCAGUUGGCGUUUUUGUGUGGACUAUCGGGCUCUAAAUAAAGCUACCAUUCCGAAUAAAUACCCCAUUCCGGUGAUUAGCGAAAUGUUAGAUGAGCUAAACGGGGCCAAAUAUUUUUCAAAGCUGGAUCUUAAAUCGGGUUACCAUCAAAUUCGGGUAGCCGAGGAGCACAUUCCAAAGACUGCUUUCAGGACUCACUCUGGCCAUUAUGAGUUUGUGGUAAUGCCCUUAGGAUUAACGAACACUCCAGCAACUUUUCAGGCUACCAUGAAUGACUUAUUCCGCUCAUACUUGCGCAAGUUUAUUUUGGUUUUCUUUGACGACAUCUUAGUAUAUAGUUCAAGUUGGGAGGAACACCUAUGACAUUUGCAAAUUGUAUUUUAGCUUUUGUCUACAAACCAGUUUCGGGUCAAUAAGAAGACAAGUUCUUUUGGGAGAACAAUGGUUGAAUAUUUGGGGCAUAUAGUUUCAGCACAAGGUGUCGCAAUGGAUCUUGCAAAAGUAACUAGUGUGUUCAAUUGGCCGCAACCGCAAACAUUGAAGGCAGUGUGGGGAUUUCUAGGGUUAACUUGCUAUUAUAAACGGUUCAUAAAGGAUUAUGGCUUGAUCGCACAGCCUCUUACCCAAUUACUUAAGAAAGAAUCUCAGGGAAAAUUAUAGUGGGCACCUCAAGCUCAAGAAGUUUUUCUUUCUUUGAAAAAUGCUCUUGUUUCUUCUCCGGUUUUGGCUACUCCGGAUUUUUCUAAAACAUUUGUUUUAGAAUGCGAUGCUUCUGGAAAAGGUUUAG